CUAGUACUCCCUCCGUCCCGAAAUACUUGUCGGAGAAAUGGAUGUAUCUAGAUAUAUUUUAGUUAUAGAUACAUCCAUUUUUAUGCAUUUUUAUGACAAGUAUUUCCGGACGGAGGGAGUAUAUG
Triticum aestivum (bread wheat) is the source of this 125-nucleotide non-coding RNA. The record is from Rfam. NCBI's taxonomy places the organism in Eukaryota, Viridiplantae, Streptophyta, Magnoliopsida, Poales, Poaceae.